This 1406-nucleotide ribosomal RNA is filed under the name Cypoides chinensis. Its description in RNAcentral is "16S ribosomal RNA". The stretch from base 1121 to 1280 matches the Rfam family "Eukaryotic large subunit ribosomal RNA", at positions 2825 to 2984 of the family's 3401-position model. The record is from RNAcentral. Lineage: Eukaryota; Metazoa; Arthropoda; Insecta; Lepidoptera; Sphingidae.
GGGUUAAAAAUUAAUAAAUAAAAUUUAAUAAAAUUAAUUUUAAUGUUAAAAAUAUUUGAAUGGGGGUUAAAGUAUUUUUAAUAGAAAAAAUUAAAAAUUUUAUAGUUUAAUAGUAUUGUGAAAGAAAUUUGAAAUAAAAAUGAAAAAAAAAUUAUAUAAAAGUAAAUUUAAAUUAUUGUAUCUUGUGUAUCAGAGUUUAUUAAUAAUUUUUUUUAUUUUUUAAAUUUCUCGAAUUUAAAAGAGUUAAUUAAUUAAAAAAUUUAUUGUUUCAUAAAUAUUUUAAAUAAUUAAUUAGAAAUGAAAUGUUAUUCGUUUUUAAAUAUAUCUAGUUUUUUUAGAAAAAAAUUUAAUUUUUUAUUAAAUUUAAAAAUUAAUUAAUUUUAUUAAUUAAUUUUAAAAAUUUAAUUUAAUAUUUUAGGGGAUAAGCUUUAAAUUAAAUUUUUAUAAUUAAUUUAAAAUAAAUUGAAAUUUUUAUGAUUUAUAUUGUUAAUAAAUUUUAUUUUAUUAUAAAUAAUUUCAUUAAAUUUAAAAUUUAAAUUAAAAUUUAAUUUUUUAUAAAAAAAUAAUUUUUAAUAAAAUAAAUUUAGUUAUAAUGAUAAAAUUAGUAUAUAAAUUUAUUUAUGAAAUAAUAAAUAAGUUAAAAUUUAUUUUAUGGGUAAUUAUUUCAAAGGAAUUCGACAAACAUUUUUUAUAUUAAUAAUAUUAUUAUAUUCACCUGUUUAUCAAAAACAUGUCUUUUUGAAAAUAAUUUAAAGUCUAAUCUGCCCACUGAUAAAAAUUAAAGGGCUGCAGUAUAUUGACUGUACAAAGGUAGCAUAAUCAUUAGUCUCUUAAUUGGUGACUUGUAUGAAGGAUUGGAUGAAAUAUAAAUUGUCUCUGUUAUAUUUAAUAGAAUUUAAUUUUUUAAUUAAAAAGUUAAAAUAAUUUAAAAAGACGAGAAGACCCUAUAGAGUUUUAUAAUUUAUUUUAUUUAAAUUAUAAAUUUAGGGAAUAAUUUAAAUAAAAAGAAUUAUUUUGUUGGGGUGAUAAAAAAAUUUAUAAAACUUUUUUUUUAUAAUUUACAUAAAUAAGUGAAAUAUGUGAUCCAAUAAUAUUGAUUAUAAGAAUAAAUUACCUUAGGGAUAACAGCGUAAUUUUUUUUUUUAGUUCAAAUAAGAAAAAGAGUUUGCGACCUCGAUGUUGGAUUAAGAUAAAAUUUAAAUGCAAAAGUUUAAAAUUUUUGAUCUGUUCGAUCAUUAAAAUCUUACAUGAUCUGAGUUCAAACCGGUGUAAGCCAGGUUGGUUUCUAUCUUUUAAAAUUUUUAUUAUUUUAGUACGAAAGGAUCAAAUAUUAUAAUUAAAUUAAUUUUUUUUUGAAUAUUAUUAAAAUUUUAUUAAAUUUGUAAACUAUUUUGGCAGAAAAAUGU